This 660-nucleotide ribosomal RNA is filed under the name uncultured Bacteroidota bacterium. RNAcentral's name for it is "bacterial SSU rRNA". It matches the Rfam family "Bacterial small subunit ribosomal RNA", at positions 835 to 1504 of the family's 1533-position model. Lineage: Bacteria; Pseudomonadati; Bacteroidota. The record is from RNAcentral.
AACAGUAAGUUCUACAGCGAAAGCGUUAAGUAAUCCACCUGGGGAGUACGCCGGCAACGGUGAAACUCAAAGGAAUUGACGGGGGCCCGCACAAGCGGAGGAACAUGUGGUUUAAUUCGAUGAUACGCGAGGAACCUUACCCGGGAUUGAAAUGGAGAGGAAUGAGGGUGAAAGCCUUCAGUCAGCAAUGACCUCUUUGUAGGUGCUGCAUGGUUGUCGUCAGCUCGUGCCGUGAGGUGUCGGCUUAAGUGCCAUAACGAGCGCAACCCUGACUGCCAGUUGCCAGCAAGUGAUGUUGGGGACUCUGGCGGGACUGCCGGCGUAAGCUGUGAGGAAGGUUGGGAUGACGUCAAAUCAGCACGGCCCUUACAUCCGGGGCGACACACGUGUUACAAUGGUCGGUACAGAGGGCAGCUACCACGCGAGUGGAUGCGAAUCUCGAAAGCCGAUCUCAGUUCGGAUCGGAGUCUGUAACUCGACUCCGUGAAGUUGGAUUCGCUAGUAAUCGCACAUCAGCCAUGGUGCGGUGAAUACGUUCCCGGGCCUUGUACACACCGCCCGUCAAGCCAUGGAAGCCUGUGGUACCUAAAGUCCGUGCCCGCAAGGAGCGGCCUAGGGUAAAACCGGUAACUGGGGCUAAGUCGUAACAAGGUAGCCGUA